Molecule: ribosomal RNA, 460 nt
Filed under: uncultured bacterium
Lineage: Bacteria
Description: partial 16S ribosomal RNA
Rfam family: Bacterial small subunit ribosomal RNA
Source: RNAcentral
CCUACGGGAGGCAGCAGUGAGGAAUAUUUGUCAAUGGACGCAAGUCUGAACCAGCCAUGCCGCGUGCAGGGAGACUGCUCUAUGAGUUGUACACUGCUUUUGUACGAGGGUAAACGCAGAUACGCGUAUCUGUCUGAAAGUAUCGUACGAAUAAGGAUCGGCUAACUCCGUGCCAGCAGCCGCGGUACUACGGAGGAUUCAAGCGUUAUCCGGAUUUAUUGGGUUUAAAGGGUGCGUAGGCGGUCGGAUAAGUUAGAGGUGAAAUCCCGAGGCUCAACUUCGGAAUUGCCUCUGAUACUGUUCGGCUAGAGAGUAGUUGCGGUAGGCGGAAUGUAUGGUGUAGCGGUGAAAUGCUUAGAGAUCAUACAGAACACCGAUUGCGAAGGCAGCUUACCAAGCUACUUCUGACGUUGAGGCACGAAAGCGUGGGGAGCAAACAGGAUUAGAUACCCGAGUAGUC